Amaranthus tricolor (Joseph's coat) is the source of this 10943-nucleotide long non-coding RNA. RefSeq lists it as uncharacterized. NCBI's taxonomy places the organism in Eukaryota, Viridiplantae, Streptophyta, Magnoliopsida, Caryophyllales, Amaranthaceae. The record is from RefSeq and is a predicted model, not a curated record. The transcript has 3 exons.
UGUGCAACUGAUUAUCUUUGAUUAGUUUUAUUAAAGUAUUUUAGGAGAAAAAUGAUUCAGUAUUUGCAGCAAUUUUGAAUUUCAGUUUGAUUUUAUCUGAAAAAUUUGUUUAUUAGAGACGAAAAAUACAAAAUUCGUUUGAAUUUGAGUUUAUUUGGUCAAUUUGGUUCUAAUUGUUAGAUAUCUUUGGAAGAGUCUGACAAAGUCGAACUUAUUGCAUUCAUACAUUGAUUUCAAUGGAGGAUGAUACAGCCAUUUUCAGAGAGUAAAAAAUGAAAAGGAGAAGAGCUACAACAGUACAUAUAUAAAAGGAAAGGAGAGUAUAUAUAUAAGUGUACCAGGGGUAUUUAUGUAACACCCCCCGCAAACUAGGGGUGAGGAUCAUCCCAAGUUUGUUCAAGAGACUGUUGUGUUGUUUUGAAGGCAGAAUCUUGGUCAUCACAUCAGCAAGUUGAGAGGAUGUUGGAAGAUAACUGAGUUGAAUGAGCCCUUCUAAAACUUUCUACCUUGUGAAAUGGCAAUCUAUUUCAAUGUGCUUUGUCCUUUCAUGAUAUAUGGGAUUUCUUGCAAUGUGAAUGGCACUCAUAUUGUCACAAUGCAGCACAACUGGUUUGAUGGUGGGAACCUGAAGUUCUUGGAGAAGCCUGACCAUCCAUGCUACUUCACUUGUAGCAGAGGACAUAGCUCUGUAUUCUGCCUCACUAGAAGAUUUAGAAACAGUACUUUGCUUCUUAGAUUUCCAAGUUAUGGGAGAAGAUCCAAGCAUCAAAACGUAACCAAUAACUGAUCUCCUGGUGUUGGGACAGGCAGCCCAAUCAGAAUCACUAAAGGCCUGUAAUGUAAGUUGUCCAGAACUAUUUAGGAGGAUGCCUUGCCCUUUAGUAGCUGCAAUAUAUCUCAAGGCAUGAUGAAGAGCUGCAACAUGAGGUGCUCUGGGUUCUUGUAAGAAUUGACUCAAAUGUUGAACUGUGAAUGCCAAGUCAGGCCUAGUGUGAGUUAAGAAAUUCAUUUUACCCACCAUAGUUCUGUAGUAUGUAGGAUCAUGAUAUAAUUCACCUUCCAGUUGAUGAAGCUUGAGGUUUUGAGGAAGGGGAGUGACAGCAGGUGUGAGGUCUUGAAUUUUACAAUGGGAAAGAAGUUCUCUUGUAUAUUUUGUCUGAGUGAGGCUUAUCCCAGAGGUUGUGUACCCAACUUCAAUGCCCAAGAAGAAAUGUAGUUUGCCUAAGUCUUUUAUUGUAAAGAUGUGAUGAAGAUGAGACUUAAGCUGAGAAAUACCUUGAGAAUCAUUGCCUGUGAUAAGAAUGUCAUCAACAUAAACAGCCACAAUGAUGAUAAGAGACCCUACUGUCUUAAGAAACAAACUAUAGUCAUUUUUGGACUGAAUGUAUCCUUGGGAAAUCAAUUCUGAAGUGAGCUUUGCAAACCAUUGUCUUGAAGCUUGUUUAAGACCAUAAAGAGAUUUUUGUAGUAAGCAGACCUUGCCAGAAGGAUUGGGCAAACCAUGAGGAGCCUUCAUGUAUACCUCUUCAUGCAAAUCACCAUGGAGGAACGCAUUGUUUACAUCCAAUUGCCAUAUAUCCCAAUGCUUGGAUGUUGCUAUUGCUAUGAUGCAACGUAUACUAGACAUUUUGAUUACUGGUGAGAAGGUUUCAUCAUAGUCUAUGCCUUGUUUUUGAGUAAACCCUCUGGCAACCAACCUUGCUUUGUACCUUUCAAUGGACCCAUCUGAUUUCAGUUUGAGUUUGUAAACCCAUUUGCAGCUGAUAGCCUUUUUACCCUUGGGUAAAUCAACAAGUAUCCAAGUGUUGUUGUUCUGAAGAGCAGAGAGUUCAUGUUGCAUGGCUUGUAACCAUUCCUGUUUUUGAAUAGCUUCUGAAUAGGAACGAGGCUCAUCUUGAGCUGAUACCUGAGCAAUGAAGCAUUGAUGCAUAGGGGGGAGUUGACUAUAUGAGAUUAUAUUACACCAAUUGUUAGUAGCAACAUGUGAACAAAAAUAAUCAGAGAGAUAAGCUGGUGGUUGUUUAAUUCUAUUAGAUUGUCUUGUGGGUGCAGAAACAGGGAUGGAACUUAUGUCAACUAAGUUGUCAGGCUGAAUUGGAGAAGAUGUGUUAAUAUUGGAAAGGUUUGAAGAUGAAUAUGUAUGAGGAAUAGUAUCUGAACUAAGGAUAUCUGUAUUAUGGUUUUCAGAGUGAGGUGCAGCAAACAAGGUGUGAUUAUAGUUUGUAGAGUUUAAAGGGAGAAAGAAAGGAUAAUGUGGUGUGGAAUGAGGAUUGUUAAUUGGUGAAAAAUGAAAAGGAAAGUGUUGUUCAUAAAAAAUAACAUCUCUUGAGAUAACAUUCUUUUUGUCAACCAUAUCAUAUACUUUGUAAGCCUUUUGAAGAUUUGGAUAACCAAGAAAAAUGCAUGGAUGUGCUUUGUUAUCAAAUUUGUGUCUGUGUAAAGAACUUGUUGUCAUGAAACAUAGGCAGCCAAAAGCUUUCAAAUGUGCUAUGUCAGGUGUGGUUUUAAAAAGUUUUUCAUAAGGUGAAACAAAACCCAAAGAUUGUAAUGGCAUUCUAUUAAUGAGAUAUGCAGCAGUUAAAACACAAUCACCCCAAAAAUGAAUUGGAAGAUUUGAUUGAAAGCAAAGUGCUCUAGCAGUUUCUAAUAAAUAUUUGUGUUUUCUUUCAACAACCCCAUUUUGUUGAGGGGUGUUAGCACAAGUUUUAUGAUGUAUGAUGCCUUUGGAGGAAAGAAACAUUUUCAUUUUUCCUUCACAUAAAUCUGGGGCAUUGUCUGAUCUAAUACCUUUAAUGAGUGUAUGAAAUUGUGUGGAAACAUAAGCAUAGAAAGAUUGAAAAACAGUAACAGCUUCUGACUUAUUUCUCAUUAAGAAGAGCCAAGUGACUCUUGUAAAAUCAUCUACAAUAGUUAGGAACAAAGUACAACCAUUAUGAGUACUAUUCCUAUAAGGUCCCCAGGUAUCUAUGUGCAACAAUUCAAAGGGUACAGUAGAUUUUAUUGUACUAUGACUAAAAGGAAGUCUGUUCUGUCUUGCAGCAGGGCAAAUUUUACAAAGACAAUUAUUUACAUAAUCUGAUAUAUUGAGAGAAGGUUGGACAUGUUUGAUAACAGAAAAGGGAGCAUGACCUAAUCGAAGAUGCCAAAGCUUAGCCAAAUUGAUAUUUGAUUGAGCAGAGUUGCAAGAGUAGAGAGUAGAUGCUGUGAUGGAAGUGGAUUUUGGUGUGCUUGGUGUAUCAUUCUGAUAGUAGUAUAAUCCUUUUUUGAGCCUAGUAGUAUAAUCCUUUUUUGAGCCUACCAAGCGGAAUUGGCCUGUUCAGAGAAGGGGCCUGGAUGCAACAUGAAUUAUUUGUGAAUGAUAUAGUACAAUUAAGAUCUUCACAUAAUUUGCUGAUGGAUAUAAGGUGAAAAUGGAAAUUAAGUACAUGAAGCACAUUUUGUAAAUGAUGUGCUGAUUAAGGAUAACAGAACCUACGUGUUUAACAUUUACAGAAGUGCCAUCAGGUAUAGUAAUUUUGUUAUUGUCGUGAGCUGUGAUCUUAUUAUAUGAUGAAAACAAAUUUAAAUCAUAACUCAUGUGAUUAGUUGCACCACUAUCAAGAAUCCACAUAGUGUUAUUAGAUGAGAGUAAACAAAAUUUACCAGCAAGGAAACAAGCAUUGUUUGAAUCUUCAUUAAGAGUGGGAGUAAUUUCAUGCUGUUGUUGACUAAGAAGAGUCAGGAUCUGGGAGUAUUGUUCCUGGGUAAAAGAUACAGGGGCUAAGAACUCAUUGUUGUCAGUAUGAUCAUUUGUUAUAGCAGCAGCAACUUGUUUCCCUCUCCAGUUGCCUUGAGGUAGAGUAGAAUAUUUAGAAGGAUAGCCAUGCAACUUGAAGCAUUUAUCCCUAAUAUGUCCUGUUCUUUUGCAGUAAUCACAAAACGGUCUUGAUUUCCUUGAGAUAUCAUUUUUGACUGAGUUUUGGGAAAGAGGAAGUCUAUAAAUUUGAUUAGACCUGUUGUUGCCCAAGAAAGCUUGAGGAGUCUCAGUUGUAAACUCAGAGUAGUGUCUGUGCUGUUCUUCUUGUAUUAGGAGUCUGUAAGCAUGGCUUAUAGCAGGCAGCGGAUAUUGCAUGAGCAGGUUAGAUCUAACUUGUGUAAAAGAGGAGCUGAGUUUCAUUAGAAAAAUUAUGAGCCUUUGUUCUUCUUGUAUUUGGAGAAGCUCGGAAGUCAUUCUGCAAGUGCAGCCAUUACAGACACAAGAAGGCAAAGGGUUGUAUUGCAUCUUGUUCAUCCCAUAAGAUUUUAAGUUUAGUAUAGAAAGAAGAAAUAGAGUCAGAACCUUGCUCAGUAUCAGCCAACUGUUGAAAGAUAGAAAAGAUUUGUGUGCCUGAUGUUUGUCCAAACCUUUCAUGCAGAUUGUUCCAGAUAUCAAAAGCAGUGGGAAAAUGUAGAACACUUCUUGCAAUAGGUUGAUCAAGGAUUUUCAUGAACCAAGUCAUGAGAGUGUUAUUUACUCUAUCCCAACAUUUGAUGGUAGGAGAAUUGGGUUCUGGCUUAGGGAUAGAGCCAUCAACAAAGGCUAAUUUAUUCUUUGCAGAAAGAGCAAUGACAACAGCACGUUUCCAAUCGCUAAAAUUGGUGCCAGAGAAGGGGGCAGACACAAGAAUGAAACUAGCAUCACUAGGGUGUAAAUAAUAUGGUGAUGUAUGAUCAGAAUUGAGAUCGAAAGGGGAAGAUUCUGAAGUCAUUCUAAAAAACGGUCAAAAGGAUGAUUACGCAACCAAACCCCCAAAAAAAAAAUUGAAUCAAGGACGAGAAAUCAGAGAAAAAAAAAUUGAAAGAAUAAAGAAGAUCAAUAGAAUCAACGAAAAAACAAUUAACCAAGAAAGAUAAAGAAAGAUCCAGAAACAUCAAUGGUGAUACCAGAAACAAUUAAUCAAGACAUCAAUGGUGAUGAAACAUUAAGCAAAUGAAGGAUACCAGAUUAUAAUCAUUCAUCAUAAGAGAAAUUUGAGAAGAUGCAAGAUAUACAAUAGCAAUUGGGUGGCUCUGAUACCAUGACAAAGUCGAACUUAUUGCAUUCAUACAUUGAUUUCAAUGGAGGAUGAUACAGCCAUUUUCAGAGAGUAAAAAAUGAAAAGGAGAAGAGCUACAACAGUACAUAUAUAAAAGGAAAGGAGAGUAUAUAUAUAAGUGUACCAGGGGUAUUUAUGUAACAGAGUCAUUGAUCAAUGAAGGAAAGGAUAGUCUUUUGAUUCCAUCUCAUGCUUAGGUUAUUAAAUCUUCGGUGAUUGAAGGUAGUCCUCAUCGCUCCGAAAUUCAAGUAUUACGUUGACAGAGAAGCGAGGUCAGUCCAAGGCGGGUUUUCACCAGCUAAAAUCUGAAGCCAAUCUCUCUUUCAAGCUAGACAUAAAAUUAUUGUAGGAGUGGAUUCUUAGGUAAUAUUUGAGCGCAUAUUGCUUACAAUGUUGCACAUCCUAACUCUUCCCAUCAAAUUUUAAACAUUAGCUGCAGAUUGGAGACUGAUUUGUGAAGAAUUGAUCAAGAUCCCUCCCCCCACAAAAGAAUCUCUCGAUUGCUUUUGGUUUACUUGUGUGGUUUCCACAAGGAUUUUAAAGACUGUUGGUUUCCUAACACUGGAACAGUGUUUUUUUCCACUUAUUAAUCUCGACCCAAGACUAACUGAUCUUACCAAGACUCCAAAUGCCCAAAAUUUUUGUCUUUUCCGCUUAUUAAGUUCGACCGAGAUUAGUGUUAGUUGCUGGCAGAAACUUCUUCUAACACUCCUCUUGUUUCUUUCCAUUUCUAAACUUAUUUUGAGUCACCAACAUCAACAAUCUCCACCUUGACGCUAACUCGUGUUCAGCACCAAAUCCAUCAAAGCUCGUGCACAAACCAAGCAUCCCAACAAAUCCCAAACAAAGACUCAUUACUUACUUAGAACCAAGUAUCAACAUUCAACAAAUUCAUAAUGCUCCACCUGCUUCACGAUCCCAUAGGUAAGCUCCACCUAAAGACCAACACACCUCUUCCUAAGCUUCUCUAAAAUCGACCCCAAGAGCCUACAUAACAUAAGUAUCAAUAUUCAAUAAAUUAACGCCGUAGCAACCUCUUGAGAAAUAUCAAGUUAACCUACAAGACCUUUGAGUCGAAUAGGCUCCUUUGCUACAGAAGUUAACGCCAUAUACUUUGCUUCAAUGGUAGACAAAGUUAGUAAAGACUGUAAUGUGGACUUCCAACUCACCAUAGAACCGCCUAAGAUAAACACAUAACUAGUUGCAGAGAAAUUUUUUGCAAAUUAGUGUGUCAAAUUUAUCUUCAUUAGCAGUAGAAGACAAUAUCUCAAUUUGUAUGAUAGAUAUGAUUUUAUUCAAUACAGAGAUCAAGGGAUAAAAUUACUUUUUACUUGUUCUCUAAAUCAGGACUUCUCUAUAUAGUGGGGAGAUUGAUAACCUCUAGUGUUUAAUAUUCUUCUGGUGCUUACUCUUUCUGACUUGCUGCAACUGUAAAGACUUCAUUUCUGCUCUUGCUUUCUUUUGCUAAGUUCAAGUCUUUCAUUUGUUUCACUGCUUUGAUUAACGGCUAUUGAAUUGAUAAUGUGACGCUAUGGUGUAGGCUUUUUGUGGACAAUGGAGCCCUUAGAGGGGACUCUAAUUGGCUUGGAUUAACUUAGGUAUGUUCUCUGCAUGUAUGGGGGAGAUUAAAUUCCUAAAGAAGCAUCAAAUAUGCUGCUUCUAAAUUCUUUCUUUACGACUUCCUCUUUUGUUGAUGUUAGAUUUAGGUUACUUGGUCCAUCAAGUAAUUAGGACUUAAUUAAGGUAAUUAAUUAAGUGUGUUAGUUUGGUAAGAGAAGGAUCAAGUGUUCACUUGGGAUUGGAUGGAAGGAAGAAUCUUAGUACCAAGUGAUAGUUCAAGUUGCUUUGAGCAAGCCUUGGAGAGAAAGACAUGCAUCAAAGCCAAGACAAGUGUAGGGAAUGAAUUGGGUGAGUAGGGGACCAUUGGGACACGUUGAUGAAGCAAGCAAGCGAACCAGAAGCUUCCAAGUAGCAGGUGCUCAAACGAGCACACUGUGCCAGCAACAUUCUACCUCUUUUCUAUUCGUAUAGUAGUUGUCCAUUGUAUUGCCCUAUCUUCCACUAUAAAAUACUCCUACAUGUCCUAGGUUAUUAGGGAAGCCAAAAAGUCUUUGUAAAGCCCUCCUUCUUGCUUAUUUUAUUUCAUUAGCUCCUCUCUUUCUCAUCAAAACUGUAAUUCCUUCAAGUUUGUAGUUUGUCCUUUAAACACAUUAUUAAUACUAUCCUAGCUAGAUAGAGUGGAUGUAGUCUUUAUUUGGUGAACCACCUUAAAUCUUGAGCUGUAUAUUGCUUUGUUCAUCAUUGUCAUUCAUCACACACUUGUAUAUUUUGAUUCUUAUAUUCAUACACACCAUAGACAUCCAUUACAACCUCAAGUAUUGAUCUUUGGUGUGUGUGAGUAUCCCUCACUUCAAUGAAUAUUGUUCUGUUUGAUCAUUUAGCCCACUAAAUACAUUUUCUUGCUCUAAAAGUUAGUGGAGCUGUUCAUACUUGCAUGAACACAUAUGCUUUGUUUCUCACCUUCAUUUUAAACCCAAAUUUCAAAGAAUAAGACUUGUAAUUUCCAGUUAUAUAUAUAUCUCAACAGUUGAUGUCCUAGUUUUACAGAUUGUGGAGGAUUUUCUGUUUUUUCUCACGAUAUAAAAGCCGAUCUAUUUGAUUGUUGGUACUAAACAACUGUAAUGGAAAUGAUUUAUAGUGCAAAUUUUUAUUUUUUUUGUUCACAAUUCCUCACCAAACGAGAGUUGAAACCCUUGAUUUCAAAUUCUGCUGCGCGUUUCAUGAAUUAUGAAUGAGCAAUACAAGAAAUCUAGAUUUUAUUCUUUUUAAGUUAAACUUGUUAGUAGAUGUCUAUUCAUUUUUCAUCAUAUACUAUAACCAUGUUUAUUUUAGCAGUGUUUUGACAGAAGCAGAGAUAUUCUUGGUAAAUGGUAUGUUUCAGGCACCGUUUUGUGGCUGAUAUUGCAUAAUAUUCAUUCUGGCCCUCUCAAUUCCACUGAUUUUCUCCAAAGAGCACUAAUUGAGAGGGCAGGAGUAAGAUGUUAUCCUCUUCAAGUUCUGCAACAAGUAGUUUGAACUCGAGCAUUAUAAUGACUAAUGAGUAAAGGUGUUUAUCCGGUGAGGUUCAUUGUUUUCCAAAAUUAUAUGAUAGUAAGAGGAUUGGCUCAUCCAGUUGAUAUGCAAGUCAACGUUCUUGACCCGUGGAUUUGUGGGCCCGACCCCACGGGUGUCCCGUGUCCACACGAGUGGGUCACGGUGAGAUUAUGUGACAAAUUGUCAUGGUCUAACAUAGUUUAUCUGGUCUCUUAAAACAAGUUAAGUGUUUCGAGUCGGUUUAAAAUCUGUCUUGUGUCCAUAUUGGUUUUUACAUAAUUAUAAGUUCAUUUUUAAAGUCAAUUCAAAUCGGAUUCGAUUAGGAGUGGUUGAUUAGUGAAUGAAUUGUAUCAUUGUGUUGUUUGGGCUCAUUAAAUGCUGCAGUUGACUCUAAUACAGAAGUAUGGCCAUACAAACCACAUGUUAUGCACAUUGUGCUUGUUAUUAGACUGAAAACUGUGAGUAUUAUGGUUUAAGAGCCAGAGUAGACUUUGGUUACGGGCAAAUAUUAGUAAUUAAGGAUUUCAAAUAUUAGUAAUUUUAUAGAAUAAUUUGCGAAUUAUAAUUUUAAAGUUUAGUAUUUUUGCGAAUUAUAAUUAUAAUAUUUUUUUUUUCAAAUUACAACCAUUAAAGUGUUAAAAUUUACAGAUUCAAGCUAAAACACAGAAUUUCGACUAUUUUUUGAAAACAUACAAUACAUACAUAUUCUUAAAAGUUACCAGAUAGUCUUUCUCAAUUAGCAACACUUUUUAUUUUCUAUCUUUCUUUUAUUCUCAUUUACAAUUUUUUUUUCCAUCUAAAUCACUCAUUUUUCUUAUUUAUUUAUUUUUAUCUUAUUUUUAAUUUAAUUUUCAUUUUCACUAAUUUUCAAAUAAAUAUACAUUUUCGAGAGACACAUAGAAAAUGUCAUACAGUCCCUUUAUAUGGUCUACUCAUUCAGUCUUCUACUCAUUCAAUUACAUAUGUAUGUGGUGUAUCGUUGCCAAAAUUCAAUUAUACUUGAAAGAAAAAAAGUACGGAUUUUUGAUAUUUUACUUGGAUCUCAUUGUCCUGAGUCCCAUACGACAGUGUUUUUAAUUGUUAUAAAUUAUGAUAGAGAAAUAUUUAUUUGAUAAGGCUAAAAGACUAAUUUAAAAAUUUAUUGUUAUUUGCUAAAGUAGCAAUUGAGAUAGCAUUUGGUGAUGUAAGCAGUGAUUUUCAUGACGUUACAAACAUGUUCGGUGUAUAGUAGUUGUGUAACUAACUGCUUGUUUCGGAUAGUUGUAGUUGUAUAAUUGUAAUUAUUAUAAAUUUAAGUGCAUAAAUAAAUAGAUAAUAUUAAUAUGGAUCAUUUUAAGUUAAUCCAAAAUAUCUCAUGGAAAUUAUUGGUAUGAACUGGCCAGGGAGUUUGGCGGUAAGCUAAAAUAGGGUUUAGCUACAUCUAUCCACCAGGUAGUUAUUUAUGUAAGGUGAAAAUUGAUGAUUAGUUGAUAAAUUCUUAUAUAUGCUUUUGAGUUUUGAUAUGUAAUUGGUGAAUAACAGAUGCAUAUAAUCUUUAUAUUCUUAAUGAUACCUUAAAAUGGAUAGCUUAUUUAAUGGAUUCCGCCAAAAUAUAUGAUUUUAAAGAAAUUAUAAAUUAUAUUACAACUCAAUCAUCAACAAUUCAUCAAAGUGAGAAUUUUUUAAAUUAAAUGUUGGAAAGUGAGUGAGAUCAAAUAAUAGACAAUAGAAUAAACUAAAAAGUUGCUUUCAUUAAUAAAUGAAGUGGUCCUUAAUAUUGUAUUAUAACUUAUGGUUUACAAAAUUCAUGGACAUUUCUUGGUAUCUUUUAUACUUGUGCACAAGUCAAGAAUGAAGAUGGCAUAAUAUUGCAAUCACAAGUUAAAUUGUGAGCCUCUAGUGGGUGUCAUAGCCCAUCACAGGGUCUAAUCUUGAGCUCAUUAAUAGAACCUAAUCAUUUGCUCCCAACAUCACAGCAAAAUGAAAAUUAGUUUUGGGAUUUUUUUUCCACUAGUAUAAUGAUGAUCAUAAUUUUUAAAAUGAAAUGUUAUAGGGUUUUUCGUAUGACAGUCAUAAAUUGUUAAUUGUUAAUUGUUGAUGAGUGGACAUAUUAUGAAAGAUAAUUUGAAAUGAUAGAAAAUUAAAACUCAAGAGAUUUAAAAGAGGGUGAGAAAGGCUCAAAGAUAAUUUGCAGAAUAAAAGUGAAAAAAGGAUAUAAAGGGUUAGACACUUGAGUUGAAAUGGGUGAAAUACAAAAAUUAUGUCUUUCUCAGAUUGAGAGUAAGUAUUAUUUUUCCAAGCAAAAUCUUAAUUCCUUUCAUUUAACUAUUAAUUUUGCUCUAACUUUUUUGUAUUUAAAUAAAGUUAAAUAAAAGUAUUUACAUAAAGAUUCUAGAGAAAUUUGGAUGAAAUUGGAUAAGUGAUGGCAAAAUUUGAAUGUAUUUAGUAUAUAGGAGGAUUUUAAAUAGAAAUUAGGUUUAAAUUAAGAAAAGGUAGCAAUAAACAAGUACCAAGGACUACUAGUAAUGGGGAGCAUAAUGUUCUAGAGAAAUAUUGAGGGACUUUUCUCUCGUUUACUAGUUCUUCGCGAAGUACGUGUGCAAGGCGUGUAGAGUAGCGUGUCCCAAAAAGGUGUUUCAACUCUUCUAAAUCCAAGCAUUAACUUUUAUUAUUAUUACUCACUUUUAGUUUUAGUUUCCAAAUUUGUGGUUAACAUAAUGUUUAUUGUGGAUUAUAGGAUAGGUUAAGAAAAGAAGAGCAUUGGGCGUGAUUCUAUUUUAUUUUUUUGUUUAAAAAUAGUACUGCUUGUUCUAUUAA